RNAcentral lists this microRNA precursor (60 nucleotides) under Capitella teleta. Its description in RNAcentral is "Cte-Mir-33_pre stem-loop". It matches the Rfam family "mir-33 microRNA precursor family", at positions 6 to 65 of the family's 69-position model. The record is from RNAcentral. Lineage: Eukaryota; Metazoa; Annelida; Polychaeta; Capitellidae.
GUGCAUUGUAGUUGCAUUGCAUGGAAGUUCAACCGGUGCAGUGCUCCUGCAGUGCAAUCA